GUGAAUGGAAAUACGGAGACAGGGACUACGGAUGGUGCUGGUGUUAAUAAUAGGGAGUCUUCUUACCAAAGAUAUGAUAUACAGCAAGCGGCCAGGUGGAUUGAGCAAAUUAUUCCGUUCUCUUUGCUUUUGUUGAUUGUUUUCAUUCGGCAACAUUUGCAAGGUUUUUUUGUUACAAUUUUGAUUGCUGCUGUCAUGUUCAAGUCAAAUGAUAUUGUAAAGAAGCAGACUGCACUUAAGGGUGAGAGGAAAAUCUCUAUUCUGAUCGGCAUAUGUAUUCUGUUCAGCAGUUAUUUAUUUGGGUUUUAUUGGUGGUACCGAAAUGACGAUCUUUUGUCUCCGUUGUUGAUGCUUCCACCAAAGGCCAUACCUCCUUUUUGGCAUGCCAUCUUCAUGAUCAUGGUGAACGAUACUUUGGUCCGCCAGGCGGCAAUGGUUUUCAAAUGUUUUCUUCUGAUGUAUUACAAGAAUAGCAGGGGCCGGAACUACCGUAGGCAGGGUCAAUUGUUAACUUUGGUUGAGUAUCUUUUACUGCUGUAUCGUGCUUUGCUGCCAGCUCCAGUUUGGUAUCGUUUCUUUUUGAACAAGGAGUACGGAAGCCUCUUUUCAUCAUUAAUGACCGGGCUGUAUCUAACUUUCAAGCUCACUUCUGUUGUCGAGAAGGUCCAAUCCUUCUUCACAGCUUUAAAGGCGUUGUCACGUAAGGAGAUUCAUUAUGGAGUAUAUGCGACUUCUGAACAGGUCAAUGCUGCUGGGGAUCUCUGUGCUAUUUGCCAGGAG
RNAcentral lists this unclassified non-coding RNA (780 nucleotides) under Hevea brasiliensis (rubber tree). Lineage: Eukaryota; Viridiplantae; Streptophyta; Magnoliopsida; Malpighiales; Euphorbiaceae. The record is from RNAcentral.